UGGACCAAUGAUGAUGACUGGUGGAGUAGGAGUCAUGGACGAUGAAAAUACGUGUCUGAAACUCUGAGGUCCAA
Molecule: small nucleolar RNA, 74 nt
Organism: Diceros bicornis minor
Lineage: Eukaryota; Metazoa; Chordata; Mammalia; Perissodactyla; Rhinocerotidae
Product: small nucleolar RNA SNORD113/SNORD114 family
Exons: 1
Source: RefSeq, a predicted model, not a curated record